GACGAACGCUGGCGGCGUGCUUAACACAUGCAAGUCGAGCGGUAAGGCCCUUUCGGGGUACGACGAGCGGCGAACGGGUAGGAGUAACAACGUGGGUGGACCUCGCCCUCCAGCUCUGGGAGUAAGACCUCGGGAAACCGGGGUACCGUAAUAACUGGAGUAUGACUCCAUGACGCAUGUUGUGGGGUGGGAAAGACCUUGUGCGGC
Molecule: ribosomal RNA, 207 nt
Filed under: uncultured bacterium
Lineage: Bacteria
Description: partial 16S ribosomal RNA
Source: RNAcentral